RNAcentral lists this small nucleolar RNA (158 nucleotides) under Trichophyton rubrum BMU01672. RNAcentral describes it as "CD-box snoRNA". The record is from RNAcentral. Lineage: Eukaryota; Fungi; Ascomycota; Eurotiomycetes; Onygenales; Arthrodermataceae.
AAACCCCGGCUAACGGUCUGAGCCAUGAUAUUUUCAGCCAGGUAGGAGCGAUGUAGUGGCGGUCAUCCAGUUAACAUGGAACGGACGUGACUCAUCGCUCCUUCUGACGGCAUCAUAGCGAUUGCGUCGGGCAAUAACGACCAAAGAACCAGGCUCGU